AUGCCCAAACUUGUUACAUUCACACAUGUGAAAGAUUCAAAUGAAAUCUCAAGUUGUAGAAGAAAAAUUAUCCAAUCAUGUAGUACAAAAUUUAAUGAACUCAUUGGUCACAUAAACCACAAGUAUCAAAAUGAUGAAGCAGCAAAACAAUACUUAUCCAUCAGAAAUUUAAACCUCAAAGUUGUCUUCAAACUUCAUAUAAUAGCAACUUGA
Molecule: non-coding RNA, 213 nt
Organism: Vicia faba (fava bean)
Lineage: Eukaryota; Viridiplantae; Streptophyta; Magnoliopsida; Fabales; Fabaceae
Source: the annotation of a GenBank genome assembly